This 163-nucleotide small RNA is filed under the name Rhodanobacter spathiphylli. Its description in RNAcentral is "Rhodanobacter sp. Manganese sequence". It matches the Rfam family "Manganese Mn2+ riboswitch aptamer (yybP-ykoY)". From Rfam's summary of the family: This RNA was originally discovered in E. coli during a large scale screen and was named SraF. The family was later found to exist upstream of related families of protein genes in many bacteria, including the the yybP and ykoK genes in B. subtilis. The record is from RNAcentral. Lineage: Bacteria; Pseudomonadati; Pseudomonadota; Gammaproteobacteria; Lysobacterales; Rhodanobacteraceae.
CCCUUUGGGGAGUAGCCGCCUUCGAUUUCAGGAGGGGCCGCGUCAACACACUUGGCUUCGGCCAUGGCGCGGCCAGCCGUAACGGGCUUGGCAAGACCACGGGUUUCGGUAUCCGCCAGCGGGUUGGGCGCGGGUGUCGAAGCCUUUGGCUUGCGCCCAACCU